UACGGAGGAUCCGAGUGUUAUCCGGAUUUAUUGGGUUUAAAGGGUGCGCAGGCGGAAGAUUAAGUCGGCGGUGAAAUUUUGCAGCUCAACUGUAAAAGUGCCUUCGAAACUGGUUUUCUUGAGUGUAGAUGAAGUAGGCGGAAUUUAUGGUGUAGCGGUGAAAUGCUUAGAUAUCACAAAGAACUCCGAUGGCGCAGGCAGCUUACUAAACUGCAACUGACGCUCAGGCGCGAAAGCGUGGGUAUCGAACAGG
RNAcentral lists this ribosomal RNA (253 nucleotides) under uncultured Petrimonas sp. RNAcentral's name for it is "partial 16S ribosomal RNA". It matches the Rfam family "Bacterial small subunit ribosomal RNA", at positions 524 to 776 of the family's 1533-position model. The record is from RNAcentral. Lineage: Bacteria; Pseudomonadati; Bacteroidota; Bacteroidia; Bacteroidales; Dysgonomonadaceae.